UCCGUAGGUGAACCUGCGGAAGGAUCAUUAUCGAAAUAUAGAGGCUGUUGCUGGUCCCUCCUUGGGACAUGUGCACGCUUUUCUUUUCAAUUUUUCCAACUGUGCACGUAUUGUAGACCUGGAGGCUUUUAUCGUUGGAAUAGAUUGAGGACUGCCCUUGUGGCUUUGCCUUGCAUUUCCAGGUCUAUGUUAAAACACAUUUCACACAAAUGAAUGUCGAAAUAUGGAAUAAUAUAUAUACAACUUUCAGCAACGGAUCUCUUGGCUCUCGCAUCGAUGAAGAACGCAGCGAAAUGCGAUAAGUAAUGUGAAUUGCAGAAUUCAGUGAAUCAUCGAAUCUUUGAACGCAUCUUGCGCUCCUUGGUAUUCCGAGGAGCAUGCCUGUUUGAGUGUCAUAAAAGUUCUCAACCGCACUGGUUCUUUCUGGUGUGGCUUGGAUUUGGGGGAUUUGCGGGCUUUUGAAUGCAAGUCGGCUCUCUUGAAAAGGAUUGGUGGUAUCUGAGCCAUAUACUAUGGGUGUGAUAAAUUAUCUAUGCCUUGUCGUAUGCCAGACGAUGCCCCUUAUCAAAGAUGUUGCGGAUAUAUUUUGACCUCAAAUCAGGUAGGACUACCCGCUGAACUUAAGCAUAUCAAUA
This 635-nucleotide ribosomal RNA is filed under the name uncultured Boletales. RNAcentral describes it as "eukaryotic LSU rRNA". The stretch from base 242 to 395 matches the Rfam family "5.8S ribosomal RNA". Lineage: Eukaryota; Fungi; Basidiomycota; Agaricomycetes; Boletales. The record is from RNAcentral.